Molecule: non-coding RNA, 30 nt
Filed under: Mus musculus (house mouse)
Lineage: Eukaryota; Metazoa; Chordata; Mammalia; Rodentia; Muridae
Also listed under: 1 other name
Source: RNAcentral
UAGCAGUAUUCUCCUGACUGGCUGCUGGGU